RNAcentral lists this ribosomal RNA (794 nucleotides) under uncultured bacterium. Its description in RNAcentral is "bacterial SSU rRNA". It matches the Rfam family "Bacterial small subunit ribosomal RNA", at positions 61 to 866 of the family's 1533-position model. The record is from RNAcentral.
GUCGAACGAUGAAGCCCAGCUUGCUGGGUGGAUUAGUGGCGAACGGGUGAGUAACACGUGAGUAACCUGCCCUUAACUCUGGGAUAAGCCUGGGAAACUGGGUCUAAUACCGGAUAGGAGCGCCUACCGCAUGGUGGGUGUUGGAAAGAUUUAUCGGUUUUGGAUGGACUCGCGGCCUAUCAGCUUGUUGGUGAGGUAAUGGCUCACCAAGGCGACGACGGGUAGCCGGCCUGAGAGGGUGACCGGCCACACUGGGACUGAGACACGGCCCAGACUCCUACGGGAGGCAGCAGUGGGGAAUAUUGCACAAUGGGCGCAAGCCUGAUGCAGCGACGCCGCGUGAGGGAUGACGGCCUUCGGGUUGUAAACCUCUUUCAGUAGGGAAGAAGCGAAAGUGACGGUACCUGCAGAAGAAGCACCGGCUAACUACGUGCCAGCAGCCGCGGUAAUACGUAGGGUGCGAGCGUUAUCCGGAAUUAUUGGGCGUAAAGAGCUCGUAGGCGGUUUGUCGCGUCUGUCGUGAAAGUCCGGGGCUUAACCCCGGAUCUGCGGUGGGUACGGGCAGACUAGAGUGCAGUAGGGGAGACUGGAAUUCCUGGUGUAGCGGUGGAAUGCGCAGAUAUCAGGAGGAACACCGAUGGCGAAGGCAGGUCUCUGGGCUGUAACUGACGCUGAGGAGCGAAAGCAUGGGGAGCGAACAGGAUUAGAUACCCUGGUAGUCCAUGCCGUAAACGUUGGGCACUAGGUGUGGGGACCAUUCCACGGUUUCCGCGCCGCAGCUAACGCAUUAAGUG